This 253-nucleotide ribosomal RNA is filed under the name uncultured bacterium. RNAcentral describes it as "partial 16S ribosomal RNA". It matches the Rfam family "Bacterial small subunit ribosomal RNA", at positions 524 to 776 of the family's 1533-position model. The record is from RNAcentral.
UACGUAGGGUGCGAGCGUUAAUCGGAAUUACUGGGCGUAAAGCGUGCGCAGGCGGUGAUGUAAGACAGGUGUGAAAUCCCCGGGCUUAACCUGGGAACUGCAUUUGUGACUGCAUCGCUGGAGUGCGGUAGAGGGGGAUGGAAUUCCGCGUGUAGCAGUGAAAUGCGUAGAUAUGCGGAGGAACACCGAUGGCGAAGGCAAUCCCCUGGACCUGUACUGACGCUCAUGCACGAAAGCGUGGGGAGCAAACAGG